UUGAUACCACAAAAUGACAUUUUGGUAUCAAUGCGUGUGUAUGUUCAUUUAAUAUUUUUUCCAAAAUUCCUUUUGUAAGAUGCCGAAAUACUACAGGUUUAGGGCGACGACGCCUACUCGAAAAAUAAAAAGAUGCAGAGAAAAGGAGAAAGAGAAGGGAGGAGAGAAGGUCAAGUUCGUAGCAGAAAGGAGUUGGCUUGACGUGACCCUAGCAUGCACACCGGCGCCAUCUUGGUACUUACGACGCACGUCCUGGCGCGAAAGCCCGCCACUAAUGGGCCUGCCGCGGGAGCUCGCAGCAGGCCUUAGGGCCUCAGUCCAUUUAAGCAAUCGUCCUAUUUUCGUCUUCAAAAUUCCACCCACAGCCCUCUCUCAGGAGGGCAUACGUCCCAUGUGAAACGUGCAUUCAAAUGUCAAAAUUUUCCCGCGUUUUUCCGUUUUAGGUUGAAGGAUUUUUUUUAUAUUUUUCAGUGAUUUGUUCAUUAGUUAUUCCGUCAACCACAGAUUGUCCUAUCGUGAUGGGUAUUACAAAAUUUAUACGGAA
Ostrinia nubilalis (European corn borer) is the source of this 544-nucleotide long non-coding RNA. RefSeq lists it as uncharacterized. NCBI's taxonomy places the organism in Eukaryota, Metazoa, Arthropoda, Insecta, Lepidoptera, Crambidae. The record is from RefSeq and is a predicted model, not a curated record. The transcript has 2 exons.